This 724-nucleotide long non-coding RNA is filed under the name Sitophilus oryzae (rice weevil). Its description in RNAcentral is "uncharacterized LOC115887540". Lineage: Eukaryota; Metazoa; Arthropoda; Insecta; Coleoptera; Curculionidae. The record is from RNAcentral.
UAUUAAAUAGUCCCUAUACUACUAAAUUAUAAGUCGGAGACUAUUUAAAAUGACAAAUUCUUUACAAUUUGGCAACACCCAUCAAUCGCCGGGUCGCCUGUUCAUUCUUUAUUCUCUCGUAGUAGAGCCAUAGUAGAGUAAAGCACGUGUCGUAAAACCUUGUUGUCACAGUUUCGCCAUGGCUAUUUUAUUGUUUUUAUUGGAUGUUUUGAUUUUGUAUUUUUUUGGAUUCGAUUUUCUUAGUGUGUAGUGUCGGUUUAGUGUUUAUUUUGAUUACUUUUUAUUUAAAAACUAUAAAACAUGGUUCGUCAGUGCCAAAUUUGUAAGAAAUUGGACUAUUUAAGUCCUGGAACAACAUUCCACAGAUUAUGCUGCCAAAGUUUCCUGAAUACAAUUCCGACCACUCUGUAUAUCAAGAUAUCCCCCAUUACGUACUAGUUUUUCUUAAUAAUUUUCUAUACAUUUUCCAACGCCAAGAUGUACCAAGCGCAUACAAAUACAUCAAGCUUCAAACAAGCUUGCACGUUGACAGUAAUACCUACAGUAAUAUUGUAUUAUAUUAAUGUAAUAUUUUUGAACCAAUGUUCAAUAUUACUGUAGUAAUACUGUUUAUACUCAUGCCUUUUAUAUUUGUUUGAAUUUGGUGCAUAUUUCCAUUGAAUAAAGUAUAGUCACCAUUACCAUUAUUAUACUUACUCUAUAAUAAAGACAGUAACGAGUUAAA